UGAGGAAUAUUGCGCAAUGGGCGAAAGCCUGACGCAGCGACGCCGCGUGGGGGAUGAAGGUUUUAGGAUUGUAAACCCCUGUUAAGUGGGAAGAAAGACUUGUUUAAAAAACAAGGGAUGACGGUACCAUUAGAGAAAGCACCGGCUAACUUCGUGCCAGCAGCCGCGGUAAUACGAGGGGUGCAAGCGUUAUUCGGAAUUAUUGGGCGUAAAGGGUGCGUAGGCUGUAUGUUAAGUCUGUUGUUAAAUCUCUCGGCUCAACCGAGAGUUCGCGAUAGAAACUGGCAAACUAGAGGGUGGAAGAGAGGAGUAGAAUUCUCGGAGUAGCGGUAAAAUGCGUAGAUAUCGAGAGGAAUACCAAUGGCGAAGGCAGCUCCUUAGUCCAACUCUGACGCUGAGGCACGAAAGUGUGGGGAGCAAACAGG
This 425-nucleotide ribosomal RNA is filed under the name uncultured bacterium. RNAcentral describes it as "bacterial SSU rRNA". It matches the Rfam family "Bacterial small subunit ribosomal RNA", at positions 355 to 776 of the family's 1533-position model. The record is from RNAcentral.